AAGAGCCAAGAGAUGAUGUGAAUCCAAGAAACAGAGCUAUAAAAGGAGGUCCAAAAGGAGGCGAAAUUCAGUCGUUACAUGUAUUAGUACGCACCAUCAGCACUCGGCGUUACUGAGGACAAGUAUUAAUACG
Micropterus salmoides (largemouth bass) is the source of this 133-nucleotide long non-coding RNA. RefSeq lists it as uncharacterized. The record is from RefSeq and is a predicted model, not a curated record. The transcript has 2 exons. NCBI's taxonomy places the organism in Eukaryota, Metazoa, Chordata, Actinopteri, Centrarchiformes, Centrarchidae.